CAGUAGCCACGGGAAUACGUAGGGUGCAAGCGUUAUCCGGAAUUAUUGGGCGUAAAGAGCUCGUAGGCGGUUUGUCGCGUCUGCUGUGAAAACUGGAGGCUCAACCUCCAGCCUGCAGUGGGUACGGGCAAACUAGAGUGCGGUAGGGGAGAUUGGAAUUCCUGGUGUAGCGGUGGAAUGCGCAGAUAUCAGGAGGAACACCGAUGGCGAAGGCAGAUCUCUGGGCCGUAACUGACGCUGAGGAGCGAAAGCAUGGGGAGCGAACAGGAUUAGAUACCCCUGUAGUCCCUGUCUCUUAUAC
RNAcentral lists this ribosomal RNA (301 nucleotides) under uncultured bacterium. RNAcentral describes it as "partial 16S ribosomal RNA". It matches the Rfam family "Bacterial small subunit ribosomal RNA", at positions 509 to 807 of the family's 1533-position model. The record is from RNAcentral.